Molecule: small RNA, 98 nt
Filed under: Pseudomonas bubulae
Lineage: Bacteria; Pseudomonadati; Pseudomonadota; Gammaproteobacteria; Pseudomonadales; Pseudomonadaceae
Description: Pseudomonas rnk leader
Rfam family: Pseudomonas rnk leader
Source: RNAcentral
UGCUUGUGUAUUUAUUUUGCUGUGGUAGUGUCCGGGUUCGCCUCGCACUAACGAGGUUCGUCAAAACCCCGCCAUAUUCCGGCGGGGUUUUGCUUUUU